UUGUCCUCAGGUUGAAAAAUGGCGGAAUAAGUUAAUGUUUCAACCAAGAAACCCUGGUCACUGGACUCUGGCCAUGCUGUGGCACCGCUUGGAGGGUUUCAUUCGAACGAAUUGAUUCAUGCAUUUGACUGCGGCCAUGCUGUGUGAGUUACAUGUAACUUGCUUAGCCUAUGGAAUGGCUAUUUCUCGACGCAUUCUUCAAAUGAUUUGAAUUUUCUGUGACUGUUUACAUUAUUGUCAUAAUCUUGUCGCCUGAAGGAAAGGAGAAUUCGUUGAAAAUCCCAGUAGAUUUGUAGAAGGCAGCAUCCGCAUACUCCGUUGGUCUGAUCGUGUGCGCGUGUAUAAUACAUAUUUUAUACAUA
Molecule: long non-coding RNA, 362 nt
Organism: Octopus bimaculoides (California two-spot octopus)
Lineage: Eukaryota; Metazoa; Mollusca; Cephalopoda; Octopoda; Octopodidae
Source: RefSeq, a predicted model, not a curated record